This 477-nucleotide ribosomal RNA is filed under the name uncultured bacterium. RNAcentral describes it as "partial 16S ribosomal RNA". It matches the Rfam family "Bacterial small subunit ribosomal RNA", at positions 28 to 507 of the family's 1533-position model. The record is from RNAcentral.
GAUGAACGCUGGCGGCGUGCCUAAUACAUGCAAGUCGAGCGAACAGACGAGGAGCUUGCUCCUCUGACGUUAGCGGCGGACGGGUGAGUAACACGUGGAUAACCUACCUAUAAGACUGGGAUAACUUCGGGAAACCGGAGCUAAUACCGGAUAAUAUAUUGAACCGCAUGGUUCAAUAGUGAAAGACGGUUUUGCUGUCACUUAUAGAUGGAUCCGCGCCGCAUUAGCUAGUUGGUAGGGUAACGGCUUACCAAGGCAACGAUGCGUAGCCGACCUGAGAGGGUGACCGGCGAGAGUGGGACGGAGAUACGGCCCAGACGCCUAUGGGGGGCAGCAGGGGGGUGUAUUGCACAAUGGGGUGAAGCCAGAUGAAGCAGCGCAGCGAGCGGGAUGACGGCCUUCGGGUUGUAAACCGCUGUCGCAGGUGACGAAGCGUGAGUGACGGUAAUGGGUAAAGAAGCACCGGCUAACUACGUG